This 248-nucleotide ribosomal RNA is filed under the name uncultured bacterium. RNAcentral's name for it is "partial 16S ribosomal RNA". It matches the Rfam family "Bacterial small subunit ribosomal RNA", at positions 524 to 769 of the family's 1533-position model. The record is from RNAcentral.
UACAGUGUGGGGCAAGCGUUGUUCGGAAUUACUGGGCAUAAAGGGUGCGUAGGCGGUUUGUUAAGUCACUGGUGAAAGUUUUCGGCCCAACCGGAAAAUUGCCUGUGAUACUGGCGAACUUGAGUGCGUGAGGGGUGGGGGGAACGAGCAGUGUAGCGGUGGAAAUGCGUAGAUAUUGCUCGGAAGGCCGGAGCCGAAGGGGCCCCACUGGUACGUAACUGACGCUGAGGCACGAAAGCGUGGGGAGC